This 486-nucleotide ribosomal RNA is filed under the name Pseudomonas chlororaphis subsp. chlororaphis. Its description in RNAcentral is "bacterial SSU rRNA". It matches the Rfam family "Bacterial small subunit ribosomal RNA", at positions 20 to 506 of the family's 1533-position model. Lineage: Bacteria; Pseudomonadati; Pseudomonadota; Gammaproteobacteria; Pseudomonadales; Pseudomonadaceae. The record is from RNAcentral.
UGGCUCAGAUUGAACGCUGGCGGCAGGCCUAACACAUGCAAGUCGAGCGGUAGAGAGGUGCUUGCACCUCUUGAGAGCGGCGGACGGGUGAGUAAUGCCUAGGAAUCUGCCUGGUAGUGGGGGAUAACGUUCGGAAACGGACGCUAAUACCGCAUACGUCCUACGGGAGAAAGCAGGGGACCUUCGGGCCUUGCGCUAUCAGAUGAGCCUAGGUCGGAUUAGCUAGUUGGUGAGGUAAUGGCUCACCAAGGCGACGAUCCGUAACUGGUCUGAGAGGAUGAUCAGUCACACUGGAACUGAGACACGGUCCAGACUCCUACGGGAGGCAGCAGUGGGGAAUAUUGGACAAUGGGCGAAAGCCUGAUCCAGCCAUGCCGCGUGUGUGAAGAAGUCUCGGAUUGUAAAGCACUUUAAGUUGGGAGAAGGUACUUACCUAAUACGUGAGUAUUUGACGUUACCGACAGAAUAAGCACCGGCUAACUCUGU